RNAcentral lists this ribosomal RNA (469 nucleotides) under uncultured bacterium. RNAcentral's name for it is "partial 16S ribosomal RNA". It matches the Rfam family "Bacterial small subunit ribosomal RNA", at positions 28 to 507 of the family's 1533-position model. The record is from RNAcentral.
GACGAACGCUGGCGGCGUGCUUAACACAUGCAAGUCGAACGGAAAGGCCCUGCUUGCAGGGUGCUCGAGUGGCGAACGGGUGAGUAACACGUGGGUGAUCUGCCCCUUAUUUUGGGAUAAGCCUGGGAAACUGGGUCUAAUACUGGAUAGGACCAUGCUGUAGGUGGUGUGGUGGAAAGAUUAGUUUCGGUAAGGGAUGAGCUCGCGGCCUAUCAGCUUGUUGGUGGGGUAAUGGCCUACCAAGGCGUCGACGGGUAGCCGGCCUGAGAGGGUGGACGGCCACAUUGGGACUGAGAUGCGGCCCAGACGCCUACGGGAGGCAGCAGUGGGGAAUAUUGCGCAAUGGGCGCAAGCCUGAUGCAGCGACGCCGCGUGGGGGGUGAAGGCCUUCGGGUUGUAAACUCCUUUCAGCCAUGACGAAGCCCUUGUGGCGACGGUAGUGGUAGAAGAAGCACCGGCUAACUACGUG